GCCGCGUGAGUGAUGAAGGUUUUCGGAUCGUAAAACUCUGUUGUCAGGGAAGAACAAGUGCCGGAGUAACUGCCGGCGCCUUGACGGUACCUGACCAGAAAGCCACGGCUAACUACGUGCCAGCAGCCGCGGUAAUACGUAGGUGGCAAGCGUUGUCCGGAAUUAUUGGGCGUAAAGCGCGCGCAGGCGGUUUCUUAAGUCUGAUGUGAAAGCCCCCGGCUCAACCGGGGAGGGUCAUUGGAAACUGGGAAACUUGAGUGCAGAAGAGGAGAGUGGAAUUCCACGUGUAGCGGUGAAAUGCGUAGAGAUGUGGAGGAACACCAGUGGCGAAGGCGACUCUCUGGUCUGUAACUGACGCUGAGGCGCGAAAGCGUGGGGAGCGAACAGGAUUAGAUACCCUGGUAGUCCACGCCGUAAACGAUGAGUGCUAAGUGUUAGAGGGUUUCCGCCCUUUAGUGCUGCAGCUAACGCAUUAAGCACUCCGCCUGGGGAGUACGGUCGCAAGACUGAAACUCAAAGGAAUUGACGGGGGCCCGCACAAGCGGUGGAGCAUGUGGUUUAAUUCGAAGCAACGCGAAGAACCUUACCAGGUCUUGACAUCCUUUGCCACUUCUAGAGAUAGAAGGUUCCCCUUCGGGGGACAAAGUGACAGGUGGUGCAUGGUUGUCGUCAGCUCGUGUCGUGAGAUGUUGGGUUAAGUCCCGCAACGAGCGCAACCCUUGAUCUUAGUUGCCAGCAUUCAGUUGGGCACUCUAAGGUGACUGCCGGUGACAAACCGGAGGAA
This 784-nucleotide ribosomal RNA is filed under the name Metabacillus indicus. RNAcentral's name for it is "bacterial SSU rRNA". It matches the Rfam family "Bacterial small subunit ribosomal RNA", at positions 396 to 1171 of the family's 1533-position model. Lineage: Bacteria; Bacillati; Bacillota; Bacilli; Caryophanales; Bacillaceae. The record is from RNAcentral.